GAUGAACGCUGGCGGCGUGCCUAAUACAUGCAAGUCGAGCGAACGGACGAGAAGCUUGCUUCUCUGAUGUUAGCGGCGGACGGGUGAGUAACACGUGGAUAACCUACCUAUAAGACUGGGAUAACUUCGGGAAACCGGAGCUAAUACCGGAUAAUAUUUUGAACCGCAUGGUUCAAAAGUGAAAGACGGUCUUGCUGUCACUUAUAGAUGGAUCCGCGCUGCAUUAGCUAGUUGGUAAGGUAACGGCUUACCAAGGCAACGAUGCAUAGCCGACCUGAGAGGGUGGUCGGCCAACAUGGAACUGGAACACGGUCCAGGCUCCCACGGGGGGGAGGAGUAGGGAAUCUUCCCAAAUGGGGGAAAGCCUGACGGGGCAACGCCGGGGGAGUUAAGAAGGUCUUCGGAUUGUAAAACUCUUUUAUUAGGGAAAAAAAUAUGGGUAAGGAACUGGGCAACUCUUGACGGUACCUAAUCAAAAAGCCCCGGCUAACCACG
Molecule: ribosomal RNA, 495 nt
Filed under: uncultured bacterium
Lineage: Bacteria
Description: partial 16S ribosomal RNA
Rfam family: Bacterial small subunit ribosomal RNA
Source: RNAcentral